RNAcentral lists this ribosomal RNA (499 nucleotides) under uncultured bacterium. RNAcentral's name for it is "bacterial SSU rRNA". It matches the Rfam family "Bacterial small subunit ribosomal RNA", at positions 899 to 1397 of the family's 1533-position model. The record is from RNAcentral.
ACUCAAAGGAAUUGACGGGGGCCCGCACAAGCAGUGGAGUAUGUGGUUUAAUUCGAAGCAACGCGAAGAACCUUACCAGGGCUUGACAUCUACCAAAUCUCGCAGAGAUGUGAGAGUGCCUUUCGGGGAAUGGUAAGACAGGUGGUGCAUGGUUGUCGUCAGCUCGUGUCGUGAGAUGUUGGGUUAAGUCCCGCAACGAGCGCAACCCUUAUUGUCAGUUGCUACCAUUAAGUUGAGAACUUUGGCAAGACUGCCGGCGACAAGUCGGAGGAAGGUGGGGACGACGUCAAAUCAUCAUGCCCCUUAUGUCCUGGGCUACACACGUACUACAAUGGCCGUUAACAACAGGCAGCGAAACCGCGAGGUGGAGCAAACCCCCAAAAACGGUCUCAGUUCGAAUUGCAGGCUGAAACUCGCCUGUAUGAAGUCGGAAUUGCUAGUAAUCGCGAAUCAGCAUGUCGCGGUGAAUACGUUCCCGGGCCUUGUACACACCGCCCGU